Molecule: ribosomal RNA, 116 nt
Filed under: Pteropus alecto (black flying fox)
Lineage: Eukaryota; Metazoa; Chordata; Mammalia; Chiroptera; Pteropodidae
Source: RNAcentral
GUGUAUGGCCAUAUCACCCUGAACAAGCCCGAUGUCUGAUCUCAGAAGCUAACCAGGGGUGGGCCUGGUUAGUACUUGGAUGGGAGAUAACCUAGGAAGACCAGGUACUGUAGCAU